RNAcentral lists this long non-coding RNA (2065 nucleotides) under Monomorium pharaonis (pharaoh ant). RNAcentral's name for it is "uncharacterized LOC118646662". Lineage: Eukaryota; Metazoa; Arthropoda; Insecta; Hymenoptera; Formicidae. The record is from RNAcentral.
UAAUUUACACAUACUUGCUAUUUUUAUGGAAAAGUAAUUAUAAUUUGUGAAACAUAAUUUAAACAUGAAUUAGUAAUAAUUAGCCUUAUUAGUGUGAAAACGCAAAGUUCAAAAUGAUAUAUAUCGCAGAGGUACUCGACUUGAUGCGUGAAGUUAGCGCUAAGCGCGCCAGAAAUGAUCAUCUCUGGCUCGAGCCAACUUAAUACAGUUCUCUGUUAUAGGGGUUCACAUGCCUUCCGGAACGGAACGGGACGCUGGGUUCACUUUCUUUCCGGAACGGAACGGGGCACGGGACAGAUCAGCUCCCGAUCGAGUGGCAUCGCAAUUUGUCUAAUUGAAUCCGUAACAAUCCUGAGAUGCAUUGGCCCUGGGAGCGGACAUCGUUGCGACGUUCGAUUGAAGGCAACGAAUGUGGAACGACCGCCGCUGCUUGAACAAGUGAUAUCGCAAAGUAUUUAAUCGAACGCGACGGGUGUGGAACGACCCGGCGUUAUAGAACGGCAUCACAAAUCAUAACUGUAUCAUCGUUGCUAACUAACGAUCCGCAAGAGUCAACGAUGGAUCAUAAGCCAAUCUUAUCGCCGAUUUAAAUGAAACUAAACGAAUCGCAGCCGGUUCGUCGCGUCGCGCGUUUGUUUCGGGAGUGCCGUUAAAACAAUAGGACUAAAAAGACUUUUCACACAACUCCCAUUCGAAUGAGCUCUUGGUUCGAGAAACCGCUCUUUUCGGGUUGCACUUUGAAAUAUUGACAGUAUUGGACGCUCAUCGAGAUGCUCGGCGACCGAUGACGCACCUAAAAAAGCUGGUAAUGGGACGCAGAGGACGCGCUGUCACGAUUGUCGAGUUAUUUGAGAUACGUUCUAUAAUUGGCAAACGAUUGACGGCAGUAAGAAUUCUUGAUUACGAUCUUAAUACGAUUGUAAUUUUGUUUCUUCUCCGCGGUGCUUGAUGUUUGCUCGUGUUAGUUACCGUGUGUUCUGUACUGGUCUGAUCAAGGUGUUUUGAUUCCAUUGGGCAUUGGAAAUCAUCAUGGGGUUAUAAACGUGGAGUGACGCAUUAGUAUGUCGCGCGAAAGACUUUUAACAAUUAAUUAGUCCUCGCGCGAUUGUAACAUAUAUAAUCGCGAGUGCUUUUCGCGAGUGUCUCGUGACAACGAAAGGAAGGAUUGCGUGACAGCCUGUUCUGAGAGGAGGAGGAGGUCCAGGAAGGACAUCGGGCAUCAGCGGAGCAACCUCGGGUAUCAUCGCAGCUUCGUGGCCAAAUAACUCCGCUCGUUGCGCAUUGGAUCGGUGAGUGACGAUUUUUUUUAUAGGACAACGAAUCUAUGAAAUUUAAAUUAAAUAUCUUUUUAUAUAUUAUGUAUUAUAAAUACGGAUAAAUGCGACUUUCAUAGAUUCGUUGUUCCAAAUGUUUUCUUUUUCAUUUUUUUGUAAUGAUAUUUGAUCGUAGUGUUCGUGUUACCUGGUAAAUUUUUUUUGUCAUUUUUAUUAAGACAUGUAUGUACAAAUGUAUAUACAUAUUUCAUUUGCCACUACUUAAAUUAUCUGACUGUUAUGCAGUCGGAAUAUAUAUGGCCAGGAUCAACGAAAGGUGAGUUCAAUCUGGCCGAAAGAAGGAAGAAAUUUAUUAAAAGUUGGGUGUCAAAAAUACCGUAAAUAUAUUAAAUGGUUUUUCGCAUUUUUUUGUAAUGAUUGAAUAAAUUUAGGGUUGUAGGGCUCGCGAAUGUCUUAUGUACCGCCUAUUUCAGGCUUUUUUUCUUAGGUCAUGUUAUAGGAAAGAGGAGGUACCUAUUUAUGUGCCUUUGUAUUUAAAGGAGUUACAAAAAAAAAAUUAACACAAUUAAAUAUAUAGAAAGAAUAAAUUUAAAAAAUUUAGUUUAAAUAUUUAUGUAUAUAUUUGUGUAUAUAAUACAAAAGAAAAUGUUCUAUUUUUAAUUAUGCAAAUGCUUUUAUAACUUCUUUAAAUAUAAAGGCACACUAAUAAGUACAGACACACUAAUAGGUACACUUAAUUACCUUAUAUCACUUCAUUUGCUUCUAUGUAAUACGGACACACACCAAAAAAA